RNAcentral lists this microRNA (21 nucleotides) under Glycine max (soybean). RNAcentral describes it as "gma-miR1524". Lineage: Eukaryota; Viridiplantae; Streptophyta; Magnoliopsida; Fabales; Fabaceae. The record is from miRBase by way of RNAcentral.
CGAGUCCGAGGAAGGAACUCC